Molecule: long non-coding RNA, 1198 nt
Filed under: Felis catus (domestic cat)
Lineage: Eukaryota; Metazoa; Chordata; Mammalia; Carnivora; Felidae
Description: lncRNA (ENSFCAG00000047281.1)
Source: RNAcentral
GACAGGACCCUUGCCAGUUUACUUCUGCAGACAUGGGCAGUGAUGUGUGGUGGCAUCCAGUGGCAGGGACAGAGUUUUCAGGUACUGAUGCUACACUCUUGGAUCCUGGUGGCAGAGAAUGUGGCAGGUGCUGACACAUUCUUCUCUGGGUUACAGCUGCUUUUGGUAUUGGUUCUCUUGUCUGGCAUAUGGAUGUAGCUGUCAUUUCUGUUCUGCAGGGCAGUCUGGAUCCUGGGGACCUCCUCCGUUAACUGGACGAUUCUGUAUGCCCUACCCUGGAGACGCCCCGCCCCCAUGGACUAUUAGGCAUGUCCACCUCCUGAACCUUAGUGGCCCUGAGGCCACCCGGAACCCCUCCACCUGCAACACUUGGUAAGAUAAUCUGAGCACUAGGAGUUGACUUGUAAAACACACUCACCUUAUUUUUGUUGCUGUUAGGUCUUGGGCCAAGGUGCAGAGGAGGUACCACAGACCAUUGUGAUGCAAGGGGAACGUCUGCUGCCAUUACCACAUUCCUCAAGUUUCUCAGGAUCUCAUCUUUGUCAUUUCCCCCAUCAUGGGUGGGUACAGGCAUCUCUUGUGGAGAAGGAAUGGGGCCGUAUGCAGCAAAUCAGACAUAGCGCUUCAGCAGAAAUGCCCUGUACACAGUCCACGUGCUGGGAUCUGUGAGGCAUGAGGCACAACGUAAUGUGUGUCCAUCUAGUUGUGCCCCCAGCCAUCCGUAGUUGUUUGCUGAGUGAUGAAUACAUCUGAAUCAGGGCUUUUAGGAGUCUUCAUCGAGUUAUAAGGGAUGGUUCUUCAAGUUCUUCUUGGGGAUCACUGGAGGCAUGUGGGUCACCCUGUGCAUGUAAUUUGGGAUCUCACUGGGACAAAGAGUUUAAGUUGUCGGAAGUAUGAGGGGAGGGUUUUUUGUUUUGUUUUUGGUCUCCAGUCUACUCAAGUCAGAAUAAACCUCCAUCCAUUCUUGGGCUUUUUGCAGGUCCAGGAGCAGGUGUCACACCCAAGAGUGACAUCAACACUGGCUCUGCCAAAACUGCCGAGAAACACAAGGCUAUUAUGUAUUCAAGAGGGCCUGGUCCUUUCCCAGGAUCGCCUUGCAGGCUGUUCCCCAUGGACCACCCUUCACCACCAGUCAUGGGCUAUAGGCCACGUCCCCCUCCACCACCAGCUCCUCCACCUCCUCUAUUUGUUAAGAUGA